CCCCCUUCAGGAUCACACCUGAAGAGUUUCCAGUACUCUGACAGUUUUGGCUAGGGGAGGGAGAGUCAAACAGAGGCUUACCCAUUCCAUUUCUAGCUUGGCCAGUGGCUAGUGAGUGAAAGGCAAUCUGCUACAAGC
Tachyglossus aculeatus (Australian echidna) is the source of this 138-nucleotide small nucleolar RNA. NCBI's taxonomy places the organism in Eukaryota, Metazoa, Chordata, Mammalia, Monotremata, Tachyglossidae. The record is from RefSeq and is a predicted model, not a curated record.